ACAUUGUGUCUCAAUCUCCAA
Molecule: non-coding RNA, 21 nt
Filed under: Arabidopsis thaliana (thale cress)
Lineage: Eukaryota; Viridiplantae; Streptophyta; Magnoliopsida; Brassicales; Brassicaceae
Source: RNAcentral